AAUGAAUAGAGGCAAAAGCGUGGAUGUUAUGUUAUCGUGCAUGUGUGCUUGUGAUUUAGCGGAAACAGCAGGCGCAAAACUAACAAAUCCACCCCCUUUUCUCUCUUUUCCUGUUCGACCAAACAGUGCUCAAGCCUUGGUUUAGGAGGGUUUUAUCCUGGAAUCUAAAACCCGAAUACCUGAACCCAAGGAAAACCUGAAGCAAGCCAUGGAGGAGGCAGGUGCUCAGCCCGUCUGCGCGCAAGAAGCGCUGGCUUUACUGAAUUGCGUUACCCAGUCUUCUUUUGAUCAAGAAAAAUGCAUCCGUCUCUUGCAUUCUCUCCGACAGUGCGUCCUCGAUAAGAAAGUAAAGAAAUUUUCACUAGAUAAUCAAGACCAGCAGGACACAGAUUCAGUUAGCAAGAAGAAUUGAUGAAAUCUUGUGUUGGAAGAAUAUAUCACCAGAUGGCCUUACAUUUUUUUUAUCUUGUAUUGUUGAGAAACAUAAUUGUUUCUUCAAUCAGUUGUUGAGAAACCAGAUGCUCAGUCAAAAAUGCUUCCAUUGUGAACUGAAAUUCAUACUCAAUAUUGAACUUGACAUGGUAUCCACUUAUCUGCUGUUGGCUGAGAACUUCUUUAGAAAGGUUAGAUGGUGGCGCCACUGGUGUGUGUCUUUGUGAUGUUUGCUUGCUCAGGCUCAAAGCCUGUUUCAUUUUACCAGAUGCAAUUGCGAUCGAGCCUGCAAAAGUAAAUAUUUCCUAAUUUGGAGUCUAAACAUCAAAUAAGUCGUGUUGUUUUAUGAACAUAUUGUUAAUGGUGAUCUGGGUUGGAGUUCCCUUGGCCUGGAUCAUUCUACCUGAUAUUAGAACCUCUUAAGAUCAUGAAUCGCAGAAGAAUGGAUUCUUCUUUUCGAUAUGGUGCAAUGCAAGGAAAAUAUAUACACAAGUUUGAACAUGAUGAUUUAACUUGGUUAUUACCGCUCUUUGGAAAUUGUUUUUCUGCUGUCCAUGGAGAACCAUUUCUGUUGGAAGAUAUAUUCCUUUUUUUGUUUAUAUAUUCUUUUUAUUUCCCUGGAGUUUGGCUUGUUGGUCUGCUUGGAGGAUUUAAAUAGUUUGUUUGGCUAAUACAUAAAUUUGUAUGAUGUAAUACUAAAAUAUUCUUGAAUGGUCAGGGAGAACAUUCUGGAGCUGAGAACUGUAGAAAUUCCAGCCAUGGGUUGCUUUAUGAACAUCUUUAGUAAUCAGUUGGUCCUUGUACCACACCCUGUUGGUCGAAAUCUACAACUACCAAAUUCUUCUAAUCUUCACCCAAACUGUUCAUAACUUUUCUCAGUUGUUUAAUUCUGCAAGCUGGAUUGCUUAGAAUUCGGAUGGCGCAAAGCAUUCAGGACCUGCAAUUGCUAGUAGGCCAGGGCUUGGUAGAUGCCAUUUGUUUUAGUAACAUAAUUAGCCAUAGAAACCUAUAAACUCAGUACAGUAGUUUUCCAGAAUUACUUGAGUCAAUUACAUAAGAUGGAGCGGUUGCAUGCUGAACAAAUGAGUAUCCUAGCAAUGAGACAAUGGAGGGAAUGCUAGAAAACUGGGGCAGAAAAGAGACUGAAAAUCUGAAUACCACCAAACGUGAAAAUGACAUUAUCAACAUCCACAAAAGCCCAAGUGAUUAAUCGAAAUCUCUAAUUACAAACAUUUAGAACCAUGGUUACACAUCAUCCAUCCCCCAACAAAAUGCCAAAUGUAACAAUUCCCAUCUCUGUCUCCUUUUUCUCACUCUUUAGUCUUAACUUAAACCCAAAAAAGAGAAAAAAAAAAAAAA
This 1791-nucleotide small RNA is filed under the name Theobroma cacao (cacao). RNAcentral's name for it is "sRNA Tc03v2_g024420". Lineage: Eukaryota; Viridiplantae; Streptophyta; Magnoliopsida; Malvales; Malvaceae. The record is from RNAcentral.